GCCCCCGUGGCGCAAUCGGUAGCGCGUGAGACUCUUAGUCUCUAGUAAAACCCCGAUUACGGGCCACUAUAUCUCAAGGUUGCGGGUUCGAGCCCCGCCGGAGGCU
Non-coding RNA from Kwoniella shandongensis, 106 nucleotides. The record is from the annotation of a GenBank genome assembly. Lineage: Eukaryota; Fungi; Basidiomycota; Tremellomycetes; Tremellales; Cryptococcaceae.